This 497-nucleotide ribosomal RNA is filed under the name uncultured bacterium. RNAcentral describes it as "partial 16S ribosomal RNA". It matches the Rfam family "Bacterial small subunit ribosomal RNA", at positions 28 to 507 of the family's 1533-position model. The record is from RNAcentral.
GAUGAACGCUGGCGGCGUGCCUAAUACAUGCAAGUCGAGCGAACGGACGAGAAGCUUGCUUCUCUGAUGUUAGCGGCGGACGGGUGAGUAACACGUGGAUAACCUACCUAUAAGACUGGGAUAACUUCGGGAAACCGGAGCUAAUACCGGAUGAUAUUUUGAACCGCAUGGUUCAAAAGUGAAAGACGGUCUUGCUGUCACUUAUAGAUGGAUCCGCGCUGCAUUAGCUAGUUGGUAAGGUAACGGCUUACCAAGGCGACGAUGCAUAGCCGACCUGAGAGGGUGAUCGGCCACACUGGAACUGAGACAAGGUCCAGACUCCUACGGGAGGCAGCAGUAGGGAAUCUUCCGCAAUGGGCGAAAGCCUGACGGAGCAACGCCGCGUGAGUGAUGAAGGUCUUCGGAUCGUAAAACUCUGUUAUUAGGGAAGAACAUAUGUGUAAGUAACUGUGCACAUCUUGACGGUACCUAAUCAGAAAGCCACGGCUAACUACGUG